RNAcentral lists this ribosomal RNA (469 nucleotides) under Streptococcus mitis. Its description in RNAcentral is "bacterial SSU rRNA". It matches the Rfam family "Bacterial small subunit ribosomal RNA", at positions 36 to 491 of the family's 1533-position model. The record is from RNAcentral. Lineage: Bacteria; Bacillati; Bacillota; Bacilli; Lactobacillales; Streptococcaceae.
CUGGCGGCGUGCCUAAUACAUGCAAGUAGAACGCUGAAGGAGGAGCUUGCUCUUCUGGAUGAGUUGCGAACGGGUGAGUAACGCGUAGGUAACCUGCCUGGUAGCGGGGGAUAACUAUUGGAAACGAUAGCUAAUACCGCAUAAGAGUAGAUGUCGCAUGACAUUUGCUUAAAAGGUGCAAUUGCAUCACUACCAGAUGGACCUGCGUUGUAUUAGCUAGUUGGUGAGGUAACGGCUCACCAAGGCAACGAUACAUAGCCGACCUGAGAGGGUGAUCGGCCACACUGGGACUGAGACACGGCCCAGACUCCCACGGGAGGCAGCAGUAGGGAAUCUUCGGCAAUGGACGGAAGUCUGACCGAGCAACGCCGCGUGAGUGAAGAAGGUUUUCGGAUCGUAAAGCUCUGUUGUAAGAGAAGAACGAGUGUGAGAGUGGAAAGUUCACACUGUGACGUAUCUACCAGAAAGG